GAGACAUUAUCUGUUUAAUAAAUAUGAUUGUAAAAGCAAUAAACAAGAGCAAUUAUACAUUACACUACAUAGUAUUUAACCAAAAAUACAUCAAAAAAGUCAUUUUAAAAUUAGAAGUAGUUCCAAUACUAUAAGAAAACUUUCUUUUUUUUUUUCUUUAAAUUGGCUUCCUAUAAAAAUAAGUCGGCAAAUGAGAGAUUUCAAUGCUCAGUUGGAUUCCUGGAAAACACAGAACAGCUGCCAAGCACCCCAUUGCUCUCAAAGUUGCUGUUUGGAACUUCUGAAAAAAAGCAAAGCAAACCUCUGCAUUUUGGACAGUGAAUCCAAUUAAAAAUAAGGCAAGGGAGAAAGUGUUGCGUGGGUGGUUCAGGGUAGAACAUGCACAGUUUGCCUUCUGGGAUUUUGGAAAACGUUGCAGUAUCGGAUUUUUAGCUUGCCCUGAAUCUUAGCUUCCACAUACAUUCCUCCCUACACAUUCCUCUGACCUUAAGCCCACCAAACUCCUUGUGUGUUUGCACCUGCGAUUAGUGAGUAGGUAGGCACUUAGGUCCCUCCCAUUUGUAGGCCCUCAUUACUGCCUUCUCUUUGUGAGUCAGCCGGAAUGGCCUAGUACAAUGGUUCUCAAACAUUAGUAUGUAUCACAAUCACUGGGAGGGCUCGUUAAAAUAGAUGGCUGGGCCCACUAUCACUUAGCAAUAGAGAACACCACUACUCAUCCCCUAGAGUUUCUAAUUCAGUAGGUAUGGAGUAUGGAUCCAGAAUCUGGAUCUCUAACAAGCCCAAGUGAUGGUGAUAUUGCUGAUUCAGGUACCACACUUUGAGAACAACUGGCCAAGGUCAUAAGAACAAUGAGGUCCUCCUCUCUGAGCAGCACCUUGCCUCACUAAUCUCCUACAGAUGGGAGGAAGCUUUGAGGAGAGGCACAUGAGGAUCCUGGAGAUGCUAGAUCUCUAGCUGGCCAUCUUUGGUCACUUUCCAAAAUGCCAGGCAUCUCAUGUCUACCUCUAUUUUUAAUUAGGAUUUACAGCCCAUUCUUCCCUAUGUCUUUCCAUUCAUUUAUUUCUUCAACAAGUAAUUUUCAUACUACUACUCUAGGCAAGGCACUGUGCUAGAAUAAGAGUGUUAUUCCUUUUUCAUACUUUUCUAAUUAAAAUGAAUUGAACUGCAACUCUGAGGACUCCCUGUGCUGGUCUGAGUGAGCCUCUUUUGGUUUUCCAACACUUUGUCUUCCAGAUUAAAUUUGGGAGGCUCCAACUGAAGAGGAUCAAUGAGGAUGUUUCCUAUGAGAUAGGAAGCCUGGCAGGUUGGGGAUCAAUUGAGUUCUACAAAUAGGUGGCUGCCUCAGGCCUAGCCCAUUUCCCAGAUUCAUAUGGGGUAUCCUCAACCAUAAACAUCUCUGCCUGAUAAACUUCUGACAGCAGCUUUGCUAUUCUUUCUGUGCCUGAACUACAUGAAGUCAUGGACAUCAGGAUCUUUAGGACACCCUCAUUAUCACCAGGGCCUGGGUUAUACACUGUUGGCUUAGGGACAUAGCAAAGAAGGAGGCUGAGCAUACUAAGAGGUUUAUCAGAACUUCUUUCUCCUAUAGUUUAUAGUGGUCUCUGCCCAGUCAUAAUACUAAAGGGGCCUCUGCUGAACAGGCUUUUGUCUCCCUCUUUCUCUGGGCCUUCUUUCAUGAUUACCCUGGGGAAAACUGGGGUUUCUUCAUGCUUUACGCCAAUCUUUUUUGACAAUCAGCUAACUUUUCUCCUUUAUACAGACAUAAAUCUUUCCUUUAAUGAUAUUACGAUACUCAGAGGUCAGAGAGCACACAUGAAAUCACUGGGAUCAUCCUAAAUAAUCAAACUCUCACCCUAACGUAAGAUAAUUCCCCCAUUUAUUGUCUCAGACUGUUUGACACUCUUAAACACAAAGUCCAUUAACCUGUUUCUCCUUCUAGUUAAAAUCAGUUUUAUUUCACAAACAUUUCUAUUCUAUUGUGAGAGUGGAAAUACCGGGUAACAGCAACCAUCACAGGAGGAAACUACCCUGCAAAACUGUCACACAUUCAAAACAUUUCUCACAAGAAUCUUCUGGAAUCAGAUUGCACGAGAUUUUCGUUAAGGUGUGAGAACACCACAAUUCAUCUCUAUGCUUUCUUUUCCAAAGUUCAUGGCCAGGUUUGAAUUGCUUUGCAUAUAUCAACUCUUUCACAUACAGUUUGCAGGUGGGAAAAGGCGGGGAUAUUUGAAAAAGGCAGGUUCUAGAGGAAAAGACAAAGAUACAUGAAACUGAACCCUGCUGUGCAGGAUGCAGUAAGGUCCAUGGGCACAGAAGCUGGCAUGCUUGGGAAUGUACAAAACUGACAAAGGGCUCAGAAACUUGCGAGUGGUGGAGGCAGGGGCGGCAGAGGCCAGGCCAGUAUUUAGGAAACAUCAGGGUUAAUGUCCAGAAUCUAGCAAUAUGUUUGGGAAGAAAAAUUAAGAACAGUUGAAGGACAACUUACUUGGGGUUUGGAAGGAAGACAUUCAAAGAUAUCAACAGAUCAG
RNAcentral lists this long non-coding RNA (2528 nucleotides) under Macaca fascicularis (crab-eating macaque). Its description in RNAcentral is "lncRNA (ENSMFAG00000061997.1)". The record is from RNAcentral. Lineage: Eukaryota; Metazoa; Chordata; Mammalia; Primates; Cercopithecidae.